Molecule: ribosomal RNA, 473 nt
Filed under: uncultured bacterium
Lineage: Bacteria
Description: bacterial SSU rRNA
Rfam family: Bacterial small subunit ribosomal RNA
Source: RNAcentral
ACUCCUACGGGAGGCAGCAGUGGGGAAUAUUGCACAAUGGGCGCAAGCCUGAUGCAGCCAUGCCGCGUGUAUGAAGAAGGCCUUCGGGUUGUAAAGUACUUUCAGCAGUGAGGAAGGUGGGUAUGUUAAUAGCAUAUUCAUUUGACGUUAGCUGCAGAAGAAGCACCGGCUAACUCCGUGCCAGCAGCCGCGGUAAUACGGAGGGUGCGAGCGUUAAUCGGAAUUACUGGGCGUAAAGCGCAUGCAGGUGGUUUGUUAAGUCAGAUGUGAAAGCCCGGGGCUCAACCUCGGAAUUGCAUUUGAAACUGGCAAACUAGAGUACUGUAGAGGGGGGUAGAAUUUCAGGUGUAGCGGUGAAAUGCGUAGAGAUCUGAAGGAAUACCGGUGGCGAAGGCGGCCCCCUGGACAGAUACUGACACUCAGAUGCGAAAGCUGGGGGAGCAAACAGGAUUAGAUACCCUGGUAAGCUCUGC